GUCUGGAUGGCCGAGUGGUCUAAGGCGCCAGACUCAAGUUCUGGUCUCCAUAUGGAGGCGUGGGUUCAAAUCCCACUUCUGACA
Molecule: transfer RNA, 84 nt
Filed under: Dallia pectoralis (Alaska blackfish)
Lineage: Eukaryota; Metazoa; Chordata; Actinopteri; Esociformes; Umbridae
Description: tRNA-OTHER
Rfam family: tRNA
About the family: Transfer RNA (tRNA) molecules are approximately 80 nucleotides in length. Their secondary structure includes four short double-helical elements and three loops (D, anti-codon, and T loops).
Source: RNAcentral